GAACGCACAUUGCGCCCUCUGGUAUUCCGGGGGGCAUGCCUGUUCGAGCGUCAUUACAACCCUCAAGCUCAGCUUGGUAUUAGGCUUCACCCUUAGGGGCGGGCUUUAAAAUCAGUGGCGGUGCCAUCCGGCUUCAAGCGUAGUAAUUUUCUCGCUUUGGAGACUGUGUGUGUGUUUGCCAACAACCCCAUAUUUUUUAAAGGUUGACCUCGGAUCAGGUAGGGAUACCCGCUGAACUUAAG
RNAcentral lists this unclassified non-coding RNA (242 nucleotides) under Alatospora acuminata. RNAcentral's name for it is "sequence contains 5.8S rRNA gene". The stretch from base 1 to 53 matches the Rfam family "5.8S ribosomal RNA", at positions 102 to 154 of the family's 154-position model. Lineage: Eukaryota; Fungi; Ascomycota; Leotiomycetes; Leotiales; Leotiaceae. The record is from RNAcentral.